UGCCAGCCUCAUGUCUCAUCCUGUGACUA
Molecule: non-coding RNA, 29 nt
Filed under: Homo sapiens (human)
Lineage: Eukaryota; Metazoa; Chordata; Mammalia; Primates; Hominidae
Source: RNAcentral